RNAcentral lists this transfer RNA (73 nucleotides) under Lactobacillaceae bacterium. Its description in RNAcentral is "tRNA-Gln". It matches the Rfam family "tRNA". Rfam says of the family: Transfer RNA (tRNA) molecules are approximately 80 nucleotides in length. Their secondary structure includes four short double-helical elements and three loops (D, anti-codon, and T loops). Further hydrogen bonds mediate the characteristic L-shaped molecular structure. tRNAs have two regions of fundamental functional importance: the anti-codon, which is responsible for specific mRNA codon recognition, and the 3' end, to which the tRNAs corresponding amino acid is attached (by aminoacyl-tRNA synthetases). tRNAs cope with the degeneracy of the genetic code in two manners: having more than one tRNA (with a specific anti-codon) for a particular amino acid; and 'wobble' base-pairing, i.e. permitting non-standard base-pairing at the 3rd anti-codon position. The record is from RNAcentral. Lineage: Bacteria; Bacillati; Bacillota; Bacilli; Lactobacillales; Lactobacillaceae.
UGCCCCUUGGCCAAGUUGGUAAGGCUCAGGUUUUUGGUACCUGCAUGCGCUGGUUCGAGUCCAGCAGGGGCAA